AGUCGAGGGGCAGCGGGAGGAGUGCUUGCACUUCUUGCCGGCGACCGGCGCACGGGUGAGUAACACGUAUGCAACCUGCCUCCGUCAGGGGGACAACCCGGCGAAAGCCGGGCUAAUCCCGCGUAUAUUCCGUGAGGGCAUCCUUACGGAAGGAAAGGCUUCGGCCGGACGGGGAUGGGCAUGCGGCGCAUUAGGUAGUCGGGGGUGUAACGGACCACCGAGCCGACGAUGCGUAGGGGUUCUGAGAGGAAGGUCCCCCACACUGGUACUGAGACACGGACCAGACUCCUACGGGAGGCAGCAGUGAGGAAUAUUGGUCAAUGGUCGGAAGACUGAACCAGCCAAGCCGCGUGAAGGAAGAAGGUGCUCGGCAUCGUAAACUUCUUUUGUCAGGGAACAAAGGGCGGUACGUGUACCGCUGUGAGUGUACCUGAAGAAAAAGCAUCGGCUAACUCCGUGCCAGCAGCCGCGGUAAUACGGAGGAUGCGAGCGUUAUCCGGAUUUAUUGGGUUUAAAGGGUGCGCAGGCGGCGCGGUAAGUCAGCGGUAAAAGCCCGGGGCUCAACCCCGGCGAGCCGUUGAAACUGCCGUGCUAGAGUAAGGUCGAGGUAUGCGGAAUGCGCGGUGUAGCGGUGAAAUGCAUAGAUAUCGCGCAGAACUCCGAUUGCGAAGGCAGCAUACCGGUCCUUUACUGACGCUCAGGCACGAAAGCGUGGGGAUCAAACAGGCUUAGAUACCCUGGUAGUCCACGCAGUAAACGAUGAAUACUGGGUGUUCGGAAUGUAGAUUCUGAGUGCCGAAGCGAAAGCGUUAAGUAUUCCACCUGGGGAGUACGCCGGCAACGGUGAAACUCAAAGGAAUUGACGGGGACCCGCACAAGCGGUGGAGCAUGUGGUUUAAUUCGAAGCAACGCGAAGAACCUUACCAAAU
Molecule: ribosomal RNA, 929 nt
Filed under: uncultured Porphyromonadaceae bacterium
Lineage: Bacteria; Pseudomonadati; Bacteroidota; Bacteroidia; Bacteroidales; Porphyromonadaceae
Description: bacterial SSU rRNA
Rfam family: Bacterial small subunit ribosomal RNA
Source: RNAcentral